AUUGAACGCUGGCGGCAGGCCUAACACAUGCAAGUCGAGCGGAUGAAGGGAGCUUGCUCCUGGAUUCAGCGGCGGACGGGUGAGUAAUGCCUAGGAAUCUGCCUGGUAGUGGGGGAUAACGUCCGGAAACGGGCGCUAAUACCGCAUACGUCCUGAGGGAGAAAGUGGGGAACUUCGGACCCCACCCCUUCCGAAUGAGCUAGGUCGGGUUAGGUAGUUGGUGGGGUAAAAGCCUACCAAGGCGACGAUUCGUAACUGGUCUGAGAGGAUGAUCAGUCACACUGGAACUGAGACACGGUCCAGACUCCUACGGGAGGCAGCAGUGGGGAAUAUUGGACAAUGGGCGAAAGCCUGAUCCAGCCAUGCCGCGUGUGUGAAGAAGGUCUUCGGAUUGUAAAGCACUUUAAGUUGGGAGGAAGGGCAGUAAGUUAAUACCUUGCUGUUUUGACGUUACCAACAGAAUAAGCACCGGCUAACUUCGUG
RNAcentral lists this ribosomal RNA (483 nucleotides) under uncultured bacterium. RNAcentral's name for it is "partial 16S ribosomal RNA". It matches the Rfam family "Bacterial small subunit ribosomal RNA", at positions 30 to 507 of the family's 1533-position model. The record is from RNAcentral.